Molecule: long non-coding RNA, 1062 nt
Filed under: Homo sapiens (human)
Lineage: Eukaryota; Metazoa; Chordata; Mammalia; Primates; Hominidae
Description: non-protein coding lnc-ETS2-2:2
Source: RNAcentral
CCCGAGUAGGCAGUUGUGGUCCACAGGCCACUGGCAAACAGAGGCAGAGCCACAGAGGGGCUGCUCGUCCCCAAAUGUCUCUCCAGCCGCUCUGAAGCUGCUGCGGGCUGCUGUGCUGGUCCAUGGAGAAGGUGGAACACUGGACUAAAGAGACAGGCUGAGGAAGCCCUCAAGUCACCCCUGAUGGAGGCCAGACCUUGAAUGUUACAAUCCCUCUGCUUAUCGACCCUUAAUAAAAAUCUGAGCAGGUCUUCUCUGCAGGACACAGGAGGCUUUCUGGAAAAAAAAACAUGGAAAAAAAGUCCGGAAGUGCUCGACCAAGAGAUCGCGAGAUGGGAGCAGAGAGUACAGGAAAGGAAGGAGGAGAAAGAAAGGCUGGAAACCUUUGAAUGCACAAAAAAAACAGGUCAUGAAAGAUACCACGAGCCAACUAAAAUCUCUGGCUGAAAAUGUGCUGGACACCAUGCAGUUGGAAGAUUUCACUAGGGACCGCAGUGAUGAGGGGAACUUGGAAGCAGAGCUAAAGAGGAAAGCAGAAAAUGAAGAAACCACCCCCUUAAAAAUUAAGUAAAUUUUUUUAAAGUUAUGUGCAUACAUUCUGUAUAUACAGAAAAGAUAUCUAAAUUGUAUGCACGCAGAAGGAGCAUUGCCCCCACAAGGAACAGUUCAUGCUAAAUGGUGCAGAUGAAGAGACUUUGACAAAGGAAGUUUCCUGAGCUGUGGGCAGGGAUGAGAGCUCAGACAAAUGAUGGGAAGCCUCCCAGAUGCCAAGGUUUCCCACCCCCAGGUUUCAAGGGAGGAGAGAGGAAGUGAUGUCAUCUGAGCCCAGUGAGGCCCUGUCAAGGGACCAGGGAAAACUGCCCCCACUUUUUGCUCCCAUCCUCUCAUUGACUGCAGGUGCACAGGCAGCUGCCUGAAAGAGGGCCUGCGAAGUGCAAGCCAGAGGAGUUGGCCUCCAUGGCACAGAGCAGGCAGAAAACAAAUUUGGAGAAUGACCAGCACUCUUGGGUUUAUUUGACUGAAAGUGCUUGUUUUAUUGCAUUCACUCACAUCCAUUUAUUU